AACUGACAUCACAUGGCUGCGGUUAUGAUACAUUGAAAAGUCCACAGAAUUUCUGCCCCACUCCCCCCCACCCAAAGCAUUAACUAUAAAGAAACACCAGACAAACUCAAACUGAGGGACAUUCCACAAAGAAACUGGUUUGUACACUUCAAAAUGUCAAGUUAUUAAAUACAAAGAAAGGCUGAGGAACUGCUCCAUACAGAAGGAAACUGAACAGUCAUGACAGUGUGUGAUCCUGGGUCAAAUCCCGGACCUUUAGAGGAAAUUUUGGAACAAUCUGCAAAAUCCAAAUGAGGUCUGUGGAGUAGAGAGUUCUACCAUACCAAUCAAUGUUGACUUUGAUGAUGUGUACUGGGGUUAUGGAGAAGAGUAACUUUAAAGAAAAAUGUUCACCAUGACCAGUACCAUCACCAACACUUCCUGGCUCUACAGCACAUGUAGAUUAGGAUAACGGCUAACUUGGAUGUGAUUCUCAGUUCGGUUACAUUCAAGCAAUCCACUGUGCAGAGAUGGAGAACACAGGGUAAUGUGUUGAUACUGAAAAUGAGAAUUCACAAAGCACAGUGAAAAGAAUGCUAAGAUGAGCAGUAAAGGGAGUUAAGAGUCAAAGACAGAGGAAGUAUAAAGCAUUCAAGUAUGGGAUAAGGGCACUUAAAAAGGCAGAUAUCCAGUUGGUUUUGGAAAUGGGGUAAUAAUAAUCAAGGGUAACAGGUAUGAGAGUAAUAAAGGAACAGCUAGCCUCGAGCCUAACAGCUUUUUAUCAUAUUUAUCAGGAGACCAGCAUUCUGUUACCAGCUUCAUUAAAAACUAAUUAUAAAUACUAUUCAGCAAUAAAAAGGAACAAAAUACUGAUACAUGCUACAACAUGAAUGACCCUCAAACACACUAUAGUAAAUGAAAGAAGCCAGAUACAAACACCACAUAUUGUAUGAUGCCAUUUACAUGAAAUGUCCAGAAAAGGCUAAACUAUACAGACAGUAGAUUAGUGGUGUCCUGGCACUGGGGAUUAACUGCAAUCCCCGUUUGAUUACAGUAAAUAACAACUCAUUUGUAAUCUCAAAAUUGAGGCAUAGAGCUAUUUAGUGACAAUCACAGUACCUAACUCAUAAGGGCUCUUUGAAGAUCAAAUGAGAUAAUACAGGUUAAAAGCUUAGAACAAUGCCCGGCACUUAGUAAGUAAGGGCUCAAGAUGUACACGCGCGCACACACACACACACACACACACACACAUACACACAUACACACGUCCAGCUUAAAAACUUAGAAAAUAAAAUGCAUGUAAAAAACAACAUGCAUAUAAUAAAUUAUAAAUGUAAAUAAAGUAUAAGUCCAUACUUAUUUAAAGAUUCAGCAACAAAUUAUAGUUCAUCCUAGACCUAUUUCUUAAUCAAGGUAAAUAGUUUAAAAUAUUUUGGGAGAACUUUUUAAAUAUACAUAUAAAGUAUAAGAAGAACAACGGAAACUUACUAUAUUAUUUCUCUAAUAUUUGGGGUCUAAAUAAAGUUUAAGGAAAUGUUGAGACUCUUCCUCAGCCUCUCAUCUUCUCAAGUUGACAUUUUGAUGUGUUAAUUCCCUAAUUACAUGAUUUUUCAGUAUGUUCCACAUUUUAUUUCUAUAUAGAAAGUCCUUUAUUGAAUAUGGACAUCCGGCACAUAUUUUUACCUUGGUAAUUUUUUCUCACAAAGAGUAGGCUGUUGUUACAUCUUAGCAAUAUAAUCCUGGACCAAAAAAACCCAGCAAUCAAUACUAUUGAGGCCAAAGGCCCCGACCUCAGUGACAUACGUAUACUUUUUUCCAUGUUUUCUUGUCCUUGAUAACAUACACUAUGAUACUGGAGGCUCUGGAGUUCUCUCUUCCCAGCAGGUGUCAGAUAAUGAUGUAUCUACUGCCUCCUGAACUCAGUCCUGUUCAUUGACUCUUUCAAUACAGGUAUACAAAGUGAAAAGUUGCUAACCCACUACUCCACCAGACAAAUAAAUAGUUGUUUAAUUUUAAUCCUUUGAAAUAAGUAUUCCAUGGACAUACCUGUAUAUCUUUGGUUAAACUAUUUCCUCACCAGCAUCAACAUUUAUAUUCUCUUAUUUAUUAUCUCUAAGACCAUUUAUAAAAUGAACUCGUU
Molecule: long non-coding RNA, 2119 nt
Filed under: Canis lupus familiaris (dog)
Lineage: Eukaryota; Metazoa; Chordata; Mammalia; Carnivora; Canidae
Description: lncRNA (ENSCAFG00000052847.1, ENSCAFG00805020401.1)
Source: RNAcentral